GACGAACGCUGGCGGCGUGCUUAACACAUGCAAGUCGAACGGAAAGGCCCUGCUUUUGUGGGGUGCUCGAGUGGCGAACGGGUGAGUAACACGUGAGUAACCUGCCCUUGACUUUGGGAUAACUUCAGGAAACUGGGGCUAAUACCGGAUAGGAGAUCCUGCUGCAUGGUGGGGGUUGGAAAGUUUCGGCGGUUGGGGAUGGACUCGCGGCUUAUCAGCUUGUUGGUGGGGUAGUGGCUUACCAAGGCUUUGACGGGUAGCCGGCCUGAGAGGGUGACCGGCCACAUUGGGACUGAGUUACGGCACCGACUCCUACGGGAGGCAGCAGUGGGGAAUAUUGCACAAUGGGCGGAAGCCUAAUGCAGCAACGCCGCGUGCGGGAUGACGGCCUUCGGGUUGUAAACCGCUUUCGCCUGUGACGAAGCGUGAGUGACGGUAAUGGGUAAAGAAGCACCGGCUAACUACGUG
Molecule: ribosomal RNA, 468 nt
Filed under: uncultured bacterium
Lineage: Bacteria
Description: partial 16S ribosomal RNA
Rfam family: Bacterial small subunit ribosomal RNA
Source: RNAcentral